RNAcentral lists this ribosomal RNA (253 nucleotides) under uncultured bacterium. Its description in RNAcentral is "partial 16S ribosomal RNA". It matches the Rfam family "Bacterial small subunit ribosomal RNA", at positions 524 to 776 of the family's 1533-position model. The record is from RNAcentral.
GACGAACCGUGCGAACGUUGUUCGGAAUCACUGGGCUUAAAGGGCGCGUAGGCGGGCCCGCAAGUCAGGGGUGAAAUCCCACGGCUCAACCGUGGAAGUGCCUUUGAUACUGCGGGCCUUGAGGGAGGUAGGGGCGUGCGGAACUUCCGGUGGAGCGGUGAAAUGCGUAGAUAUCGGAAGGAACACCGGUGGCGAAAGCGGCGCGCUGGACCUCUACUGACGCUGAGGCGCGAAAGCCAGGGGAGCAAACGGG